UCCACAGUCCACAGAAGUCAUUUAUUCUUUUUUUUUUUUUUUCGACUUAAUGCUACUUCAAUUGGUCAUUCUCAUUUAUUUCAUGUAACAGGAAAUUAUCACUAAUUUGCAGGAAGCACACUUUGUCAAGGAACUACAACAUAUUUUCUUGUUUAUAGGCAGAAUACACAAUUGAAAAGCAUAAUCUUCUGUGUGCUUUUGUACUCUCCAGAUUAGUAGUUUCUUCUAUGGAACAUACUGGCAUUCAGGACCUUCAUACAAACUCUGUGAUCUGUGAGAAAUUUAUGAUUUUUCUAUAACGCUAUCCAUAGAUCAAAUUAUUUCACGAAGAAAAAGAAUAAUAUUGGUAAAUUUUACAGAUUUGUUGGAUGAAGAUCUAGGAUUAACAUGAUUAUUUAUUGUAUUCCUAAAAAAAUCUGGAUAUGUAUUACUAUAUCUAAGUAAUUGCUGAUGGAUGUGCUAUUCGUAUCAUCUCAAUAUAACUCAAACUAUUAAAUUUGACCAUAUUAAAUUGAGACAAUUUGUUAUCUGAUUUGUUUUCCUUCAUUAAGGCAAUAUUGUUGGAGAACACAGUAUUCACGUAUUUUAAUUCACCCAUUAUUGGAUGUGGGUUUUCCCUUUCUUUUGAUGUCGGAUCUGCCUCCGUUUCCAUUUGACUCGGGUAAGAGUACUGUUCUUAUUCAUUUAUGGAUUCACACUCGUUUCAUAGGACGCUGCUCCCCAUGCUUGCUCAGCAAUUCACUUUGUUUGAUAAUCCUGUUUAUAUUAAUUUUGAUCAUUUCGAUUUUCGCCUUUCUGCCAAGAAGAUCACCUCAUUUCAACAAUCCUUUAGACUAUCUAGUAGAAUUUGGAAAACCGUCAUGUUAAUAUCAUAACAAGGAAUUUACCAGAUAAAUUAAGGCCUGUUGAUCUGCUCUCACUUCUGUCCCCAAUCAAUUUUACUACUUCUGGAUUGAAUUCCCCUACAAGCUGAUUUUGGAUUUUUGCAACUUUUUAGCAUCACUGUCCAUAUAAAAACUUCUUCCUGAUUCAAUCUUAUGCAGGUAGAAGGUUUACAAGAGGCAAUGGUCGCAGGAUAGAAGAUGGUUCUCUAAUCACUGUUGUGGAUAAGCAUGGUAGCAAUGAGAAGUUCACCCGGAGUGUUACUUUUGCUACACCAAGAGCAUUUGUAAGACUUCUUGGAUAGACUAAAAAAGCAAAACCUGAUCAAGAUAAUAAAAAGCCAAAAUCAAAUGAUGAAUUCAGAGAUAUGUUUUUAAAGAAGUGAAGACCAUUUCAAGUGAUUGGUGACUUGUUCAUUGGCUCCUGAAAAUUCAAUAGCAGUGGCAAUCGAUAAUCUCGGUUGUGUAUGUCUGGAUUAAAAACACUCUUAUUAAAAAAAAUGAUUAUAUGCCUCUAACAUCUUAUGUUGAAUGUCUAUUUUCUAAGUAAAGUUUUUUGUCUUGCAAUUCAAGCGAUAACCACUUUACACUUCUGCAAUUAGGUAUUUUCAGUACCAAAGGAAGUAUUUAAGUUGUUCCUAGAGAUUACUUCAUCAUCAAGCAGAAAAAAAGAAUAUAUAUGCAUAAAUAAUUAUAUUACCUUCAUUGGAAGCAGCUUAAAUUCAAAGAUUUCUGUCUGAUAUUGAACUUGAGUUUCUUAUUUGUCAUAAAUCUUAAAAUGGUUCACUGUAUGAGUCUGACAUGAUAAGUCCCAGCUAAUCUGGAUUGGGCCAAGGCUGUAAACAUUGGUUUCAACUGAGGCAUAUCCUUCAUAAGAAGAACACAAGAUGAUGAGGAAUAGGAGAUGAUGGCAACGAUAGCAGCCAACUAAUUAUAGCUUCUGCCUGCAGCAGCCACUGGAAAGUCGGGGAGGUAAACUAAAAAAAAAAAGAGAACCUUAAGACUUCUUGUUGCUUGCUUUUGGGGUGUUUGGUAUAUUUUUUUUGUCGAUUUUGUGGGUAUGUAUGCAUGUCGACAUAAAUUUAUUUAGGAUAGUUUCUUAUUUAGAAUGGUCUAUGGGAAUGUUUUAUAGUUGCUUUACUAGCAAUUGAGAUUAGUCCAGACUUGAAUAAGAAAUGGAAUUGCUUUCGAGUGUUAUUAAUUUGCGUUGUUGUUGUAUGAACAGUAACUCUUAUGGUUUUUUUCAUUAUUUGAUGUUUUAGUUAGUUCUUCUGUAUUUAAGUGGUAGUCUUGGGAUAAGUAGUGAUUGGAAAUACAGCCAUGUCCUUGUUUACUUAAGUAGUUGUUUGAAAUGAAGUGAAUGUAUGAUCUCUUUAUGAAUCAAAAUAAAGUUGUCAUCAGACAUGUUUGCUUUCACUAGAUUGUUCACAUUGUUUCUCACCAGUUCUGUAUUUCAGUGGUAGUCAGUCUUUGGAUAAGUAGUGAUUAGAAAUACAACCAAGUCCUUGUCUACUUAUUGUUUGAAAUGAAGUGAAUGUAUGAUCUCUUAAUGAAUGAAAAUUAAGUUGUCAUCAGCCAUUAAUGUAAUCUUUCACUACAUUCUGUCAAUUAUUUCCAAUGAGUGUUGCAGAUAUAAAGUACUGGAAAAACUCACUUUAAUGGCAUCACAAGCAAAAAUAUUCUCUUACAUGAUUCGGAGAAAGAGAAGAUUCUUCUCCAUGGAUCUACAAUAGAGAAGCAUUAUGAAAAUUCAUUGUGGUGAGCAUCAGACUCCAUCUUUAUGCCAAAGGUUAUCUAGGUGGUUGCACAAGACAAAGAGGUGCUUCCUUGUGGCUACUUGGGACCAGCCAUUGAGGGUGAACACAUGCAGAUAUGAUGAUGCCAACCUUGUCGACAGAGUUCUUACCUCGAGGCAGACCUCCUGGAUGUCUGUUUUGGACUGGUAGUUUUGACAGUGGUGGAUACGUAAUCAUCUAAUGAUUCAUACACCCCUUCUUUUCUGCUUCUUUCUUUUGGGGGUGAACACAUGCAGAUAUGAUGAUGCCAACCUUGUCGACAGAGUUCUUACCUGGAGACAGACCUCCUGGAAAUGCUCACUUUUGACUACAUUCGGUAAUGAUACUGUAAACUUUGCUACCACCAUCCCAGUUUUGUCACAAAUACUUGCUGCUAUAAGAGUGCCCAUUUGCCAAUCUUUCUAUUUCUCUA
Musa acuminata AAA Group (dessert banana) is the source of this 3089-nucleotide long non-coding RNA. RefSeq lists it as uncharacterized. NCBI's taxonomy places the organism in Eukaryota, Viridiplantae, Streptophyta, Magnoliopsida, Zingiberales, Musaceae. The transcript is spliced from 4 exons. The record is from RefSeq and is a predicted model, not a curated record.